AUCCGUCGACUUUAGAAAUCAUGAGGGUUCAAG
RNAcentral lists this transfer RNA (33 nucleotides) under Linanthus dichotomus. Its description in RNAcentral is "partial tRNA-Leu". Lineage: Eukaryota; Viridiplantae; Streptophyta; Magnoliopsida; Ericales; Polemoniaceae. The record is from RNAcentral. RNAcentral also lists the same sequence under 2 other names.